Molecule: long non-coding RNA, 2085 nt
Filed under: Brassica rapa (field mustard)
Lineage: Eukaryota; Viridiplantae; Streptophyta; Magnoliopsida; Brassicales; Brassicaceae
Description: long non-coding RNA (BRAP_LNC005007)
Source: RNAcentral
AGCGAGAGUAGGCGGGAGGAGACGGGAGGGUGAUCGAAACUUCCGGUUUUAAGAGAUAAACAGUGAAGCUUCUUAGCUUCUUCUAUUGUUUCUGAGGAUCUGAAGAGGGAUAACAGGUGGACGGAGGAUGGCGGCACCACUGCUGCUGCAUUCUGCAUUUUGAAGAUAACUGGUUGGUUCGGGUUCGGAGAGACGAAGCCGAUCGAUAACUCUUUAGUUUUCUGUUGAUGCCUUUAUUGUUUUAACACACAACAUUAUUUAAAAUAAUUCCUGGUUUUGACAAAUCCAAUCUGACAGAAAAAAAAAAAACUUUGAAAACUAGAUUAUGAUUAAACUUAAAUAAACAGAUUUUUGGUGAAUUUUCAGGUUUACCAAAACAAAACACUAUUAUACUUUUGCUCUCUAUAUAUAUGAUGUAUUUAGCAAUUUUGACGGGAAAAUGUAUUUUCUAGUUUUGCGCAAAAAUAUGUUUUACGGUUUUUUUGCCGGAAAAAACGUAUUUGUGCAGAAAAAUAUGUUAUGUGGUUUUGCCGAAAAAUGCGUUUUUGUGGUUUUGGCAGAGAAAUAGGUUUUGCGGUUUUAUCGUAAAUGUAUUUUUUCAGUUUUGACAGAAAAAUGUAUUUAGGAAAAUGCAUUUUCGGUUUUGACAAAAUUUUGUUUUUUGCAGUUUUGGCGGGAAAUUAAAUUUUUGCGGUUUUUACAAAAAAAUGUAUUUUUAGUGUUUUUGCAAAAAAUAAGUCUAAACUUGAAUAUAAAUAUUUAUUAAAAUAAAGAUAAAUUUAUCAUUUGUUAUUUGGAUACGUUCAUCUCCUUCCAGAUGCACCAAUUAAACUGAUCUCAAUGAGCCAUCUAGAUGAGUGUUAUUUUAAGCUAAAAUUUUAAAACUCAUUAUGAGAUAUCAUUCAUAUGAUUUGUAAAAGUUUAAACAGAGGAAAAUUACCAAAAAUACCACAUUAAUAGUACAAUUUUUCAUGUUUACACUAACCAAUUUUACUCCCACUUUUAGAAAAGAAAAAAGACAUUUAUAAUCUUAUGGUUAACUAAUCAAGACUUAGGGUUUAGACAUAUUUUUUGCAAAAACACAAAAAAAUGAAUUUUUUGCAAUUUAGGAUUUUAAUAAAUAUAUUAAUAAAUACUUUAAAAAUGUGAAAUUUAGAAUUCUAAUAAAUAUAUUAUUAAAUACUUUAAAAAUUAAAAAUUUUAAAAAAUAGUUUCAAAAAUAAUUUUUGAUUUUCAAAAUGAAAUUUUGAAAAAAAGUUGGAAAAAAAAUUCAAAACAAAUUAUAAAAAAGUUUGAAUUUGGAAAAGUAUAAUUCGAAAACAUAAAAAAAAAUAUUUUUUUAUUUAUUUAAAUAAUUAUUUAUUAUAUAUAUAGAUAACAAUAGUAUAAAAGUAUUUUGCCUCUUAGUGAAAAAUGUAUUUUUGAAAAUAUCUUUUUAGUAUAUGAAUAAUGGUACCAAAAAAAUGGUAAACAUGAAAAUUCUCCUUAAACAAACAACAAUCUCAUCUCCAUCGAGAUGGAUUAUCUAGAUGGUGAAACGAACAAGCUCUUAAGAGCUAUGGUACCUAGAUAAAAUUAACUGUUUGAAAUCUGUAUUUAAUAUCCUACAUAAUUAUGAUACGAAUUUAGAUUUUCAAUUAAAAUAAAUUGUGAAACUUCUAGCUGAAUUUGGAGAAUUUUAAAAUAUACUCAUAAAUUCAUGUUAAAUUCCAAUUUAUACAUUUUCUUCAAUCAAAUUAAAAAAUUAAUGCAAAAUGCUACGGAAAUUAAAAUUACUUUUUGUGACCAAAAUAAUAAAAAUAAAAAAUUAAUUUUACGAUUAUAACUUCAACAAGUUUGAACAUAAUAAUAGAGUCUAUUCAACAUACUUUAUUUGAAGUGUAGAGCGAGAGUAGGCGGGAGGAGACGGAAGGGUGAUCCAAACUUCCGGUUUUAAGAGAUAAACAGUGAAGCUUCUUAGCUUCUUCUAUUGUUUCUGAGGAUCUGAAGAGGGAUAACAGGUGGUGGUGGUGGUAGUCGUGGACGGAGGAUGGCGGCACCACUGCUGCUGCAUUCUGCAUUUUGAAGAUAACUGGUUGGUUCGGG